CCUACGGGAGACAGCAGUGAGGAAUAUUGGUCAAUGGGCGCGAGCCUGAACCAGCCAAGUAGCGUGAAGGAUGACUGCCCUACGGGUUGUAAACUUCUUUUAUAAAGGAAUAAAGUGAGGCACGUGUGCCUUUUUGUAUGUACUUUAUGAAAAAGGAUCGGCUAACUCCGUGCCAGCAGCCGCGGUAAUACGGAGGAUGCGAGCGUUAUCCGGAUUUAUUGGGUUUAAAGGGUGCGCAGGCGGAGGCACAAGUCAGCGGUAAAAUCAGGGGGCUCAACCCCGCUCCGCUGUUGAAACUGUGUCCUUUGAUGGCGCGAAGGGUAGGCGGAAGGGGUGGUGUAGCGGGGAAAUGCA
This 354-nucleotide ribosomal RNA is filed under the name uncultured bacterium. RNAcentral's name for it is "partial 16S ribosomal RNA". It matches the Rfam family "Bacterial small subunit ribosomal RNA", at positions 338 to 690 of the family's 1533-position model. The record is from RNAcentral.